GAAACUUAGGAUUAAUGUAAACCGAAG
This 27-nucleotide transfer RNA is filed under the name Sylvietta virens (Green crombec). RNAcentral describes it as "partial tRNA-Trp". Lineage: Eukaryota; Metazoa; Chordata; Aves; Passeriformes; Sylviidae. The record is from RNAcentral.